This 45-nucleotide non-coding RNA is filed under the name Schistosoma mansoni. Lineage: Eukaryota; Metazoa; Platyhelminthes; Trematoda; Strigeidida; Schistosomatidae. The record is from RNAcentral.
AUCCAGCUGACAGGUCCCAAAUAGGACGAAACGCACAUCCUAGAU